CGGUAUGGACCAAUGUGGUCUAUUUUCAUCUGUUUUCCAACAGCUGAUUUAGUAAAGUUGGUUUCGUUAGCAAAUACCAAAUAGUAAAUAAUGUAAGAUUCGUUCAUUUGUAAGACAUGUGAUUUAGAUAUUCAACUCAAAUUAGCAGCCUUAUCUUUGUUUCAUUACAAUUUACUUUUCAAUUCAAUUUAAAUUUAAGUGCCUAUCUUUAAAAACAAAUAAUUGGCUUUUUUAUUUUAGGUUAGGUAAUAGUAUUUACUGGAAUACCUUUAACUACCUAUUCAAAUUUCAUCAUUUUUGUUUAGUCGUGUAUAUUGCACGAGCUUUUUUGCGGAGAAACCAGGCUUCAAUUGACCCGAUUGCCCUUUUUCCAAGAACCCGUCGUCUGGACAAUCGAAACUAUGAUGAAGUGUCCGAAGUAUCCGAAGUGUCCUAUGAAAUUUUAGAUCUAUUCAGCUUUACGUCGUCCUCAAAACAAAUACGCUCCAGUAUUACGGUAGCUGAAACAUCAGCAAUUAGACCUACUACUUACAAAACUUCGUACUUUUUAUAAUCAAUUUUGGCUACUGUCUAUGUUAGGCGGUCUAGGGGGAAAAAAAUAUCCCGAGGACGCAAACAGUUUUAUAAAAUGGGGCACCUUCUCCAUGGAGCCAUCCUCGUACCAGAGUUCUUGCUAGAUCUAAAAACAAAACACCUGGAGAAAUUUCACCAUCCCAAGCUACCUGCAAAAAUGUAUGGACUCAAACUAGCUUGUCAUUUCCUCCUGUCCUACCACUAGAAGUUGAAGAAAUACUCAAUCAGUACAUGAAUGAUCCCGAGGACCAUGCUGCUGCUCAGUCAUCAACCUCAUCUAACAGUGAAUGCGAAGAUUCCAGCCUUAACGCUUCAAGCCUUAGGCGAAAGCUCUUUUCUCAGAUGAAUACCACACCACAAGCUGAAGAUGCAGCAAGGAGUCGCGAGCAGUCUUCGAGCCCGAUUUUAACUACUGGUCCUCAUAGUUCACGCUUUUCUUUCAGUCCUUCCUCCCAUCCGGUUUCACCACCUAUUCUAUCACCUAUAAGUUCGCAUCUCGAAGAAAGUGCUGCUAUGGAUGAAGCGACAAGCCAGAACUGGGGAACCAUUGAUUCACGGCCAUCUAGUUUUCCUGACAGAACAGUUCUAAUGGAAACGUAUGAAGCUGAUGAUAAAGCUUAAUGAUGCUGAUGGCAAAGCUGCACCAGUAAUCCUAUAAAGCCGCGUAUAUUUAUCGUCUAGCUGACAGUUAUCGUCUAGUUAUUGUCUAGAUGACUUUACUAAUUAAGAGCGAACUAUGGUCGCCUAGCAAACAGUUCAGACGAAAGUUCGCAUAUUAUGAAAAAUGGCAUCCUUAGCACAGCCGCCCUCAGGUGUUCACGAAACGACGAUUGUCAGCUAUUUUGACCGACCAACCCAGCCCAUUCCGACUCCCAACUUCAUACUCUUUUAUACCUGUAGGCUACAAGACCGCCCAUUUCUACCGAUGGUCCCUUUAUCAGCUUUCCCUUCGUCACAGCCAGUUUUAUCCCCCCCCUCUCGUUUAACCUGUUGUGUAGUUUCGGAUUUCCGCUCUCUGUGUACUACCUGCUUCGGGUUUUCGAGCGAUAACAAUUGCGCUCUGCAUACGUAAAAAGUUCAAUAUCGUAAAGUGGUUUCCAGUUACCACAUAGAAAUAUUUCACCAAGAUUAUUUAGAAAUUCACAGAUAUUAAACAUGACUUUUUCAUGAAAAACUAAACCGUUAACCUUCUUUAACCGUAAUUAUUAGUCUAUUCUUUCGUACGGAACACCGCUAAAAUUGCAAUGUUUUGAAAGAUAGAGAUAGCGGUCACGAAGCCUAUGAUCUCAUGUAAUGCUCAAGGCAACAUCCUCCUUAAUUAUCAUAUAGCUUAUCUGCAGUGAUGUAAGCAACAACGUAUCUGAUUAUGUCGAUCUGACACAUCACAUUGGCAAGACGCAUGCUUGUCUGCCUACAGUAUUUUGAAUUAAGCUUUUGAUUUUAAAAUUUUCGCAAUUACUAUCGACAAUAUGCGCCUAACUCGAUGACACCCGGACGCUUGUCUCGGUGAAAGGAAUGUGGACCCUAAAAAAUUGGUUUUUCUAAAAACUAUUUCAUUUUAGUUGCAUUUUUCUAGGCCUCCUAGAUAUUUUGCAAAUGCCUCUUGUCCACAAAUCGCGAAGAUUUUCACCGUUAACGGACCCCGGGUCGACUGCACUGAGGAAUGGUUUUACCGUUUAAUCAUUUAUUGAUUCGAGUUACGAACGGAUUGUUUUAAUGCAAGCCGCUCAGUUCAAUGUACCAAUAAAUUGUGUGCCUAUGCUAAA
This 2339-nucleotide unclassified non-coding RNA is filed under the name Daphnia magna. Its description in RNAcentral is "uncharacterized LOC116919382, transcript variant X3". The record is from RNAcentral. Lineage: Eukaryota; Metazoa; Arthropoda; Branchiopoda; Diplostraca; Daphniidae.